This 345-nucleotide unclassified non-coding RNA is filed under the name Hevea brasiliensis (rubber tree). The record is from RNAcentral. Lineage: Eukaryota; Viridiplantae; Streptophyta; Magnoliopsida; Malpighiales; Euphorbiaceae.
UUUCAAAGUUAACCCCUAGAAUGAUGCCCAAUUCAAUGCCUUGGUUAAUGAAUACUGUUUACUUACUAAAAAAUAUUAAAAAGAUGCUACUUCUUCCUCAGUUCUACAAAUUCAUUCCUACUUCCUACCUUUUACUAUUGAACAAAUUUCAAAAGUGGCUGUAAACUAGAGCACAAACAACUUCUUCUUCCCAUCAUAAAGUUGAAGAAUAAAACAUUAGUAAAAUGUAAAAUUGAAAAAGAACCAUCACAAAAAGUAAACGUGGGAGUGAUCGGUCUUCUUAAUUAAAAUUCACAGAAUUUUGAAGCAGCCAUGAUCCCACCUGGUAUCUUCGCUUAUUUUGAG